RNAcentral lists this ribosomal RNA (253 nucleotides) under uncultured bacterium. RNAcentral's name for it is "partial 16S ribosomal RNA". It matches the Rfam family "Bacterial small subunit ribosomal RNA", at positions 524 to 776 of the family's 1533-position model. The record is from RNAcentral.
UACGUAGGUGACAAGCGUUGUCCGGAUUUACUGGGCGUAAAGAGCGCGCAGGCGGUCGUUCAAGUCGAGUGUGAAAGCCCCCGGCUCAACUGGGGAGGGUCACUCGAUACUGAUCGACUCGAAGGCAGGAGAGGGAAGUGGAAUUCCCGGUGUAGUGGUGAAAUGCGUAGAUAUCGAGAGGAACACCUGCGGCGAAGGCGGGUUGCUGGGCUGACACUGACGCUGAUGCGCGAAAGCUAGGGGAGCGAACGGG